This is a long non-coding RNA of Struthio camelus australis, 222 nucleotides long. RefSeq lists it as uncharacterized. NCBI's taxonomy places the organism in Eukaryota, Metazoa, Chordata, Aves, Struthioniformes, Struthionidae. The record is from RefSeq and is a predicted model, not a curated record.
UGAACACCUGACUCCAUGACUGCACCAGCAGAAGUAUCGCAGCACACUAUGAUUCGUGGCACAAAUUGGGGGUGAAAAAGCCAAUUCAUAAAAGCUUCAGCUAAACGUCUGUGUAUGGUAGCCGACUGUCCUGGAAGGAACAGACCUGGUGGAACAAACAUCCUCACAGCGAAUCACCACAUGCUUCGUUUUGAGGUUAUUUUCCUUCUGUUUUUAAGCAUG